CCUACGGGGGGCUGCAGUGGGGAAUAUUGGACAAUGGGGGCAACCCUGAUCCAGCCAUGCCGCGUGUGUGAAGAAGGCCCUCGGGUUGUAAAGCACUUUCAGUGAGGAAGAACGCCUGGUGGUUAAUACCCAUCAGGAAAGACAUCACUCACAGAAGAAGCACCGGCUAACUCCGUGCCAGCAGCCGCGGUAAUACGGAGGGUGCGAGCGUUAAUCGGAAUUACUGGGCGUAAAGCGCGCGUAGGUGGCUUGAUAAGCCGGUUGUGAAAGUCCCGGGCUCAACCUGGGAACGGCAUCCGGAACUGUCAAGCUAGAGUGCAGGAGAGGAAGGUAGAAUUCCCGGUGUAGCGGUGAAAUGCGUAGAGAUCGGGAGGAAUACCAGUGGCGAAGGCGGCCUUCUGGACUGACACUGACACUGAGGUGCGAAAGCGUGGGUAGCAAACAGGAUUAGAUACCCCGGUAGUC
This 465-nucleotide ribosomal RNA is filed under the name Vreelandella stevensii. RNAcentral describes it as "partial 16S ribosomal RNA". It matches the Rfam family "Bacterial small subunit ribosomal RNA", at positions 338 to 795 of the family's 1533-position model. Lineage: Bacteria; Pseudomonadati; Pseudomonadota; Gammaproteobacteria; Oceanospirillales; Halomonadaceae. The record is from RNAcentral.